Molecule: ribosomal RNA, 274 nt
Filed under: uncultured bacterium
Lineage: Bacteria
Description: partial 16S ribosomal RNA
Rfam family: Bacterial small subunit ribosomal RNA
Source: RNAcentral
CUACGGAGGGGGCUAGCGUUGUUCGGAAUUACUGGGCGUAAAGCGUCCGCAGGCGGAUGAUUAAGUUAGGGGUGAAAUCCCGGGGCUCAACCCCGGAACUGCCCUUAAAACUGGUCAUCUAGAGUUAUGGAGAGGUAAGUGGAAUUCCUAGUGUAGAGGUGAAAUUCGUAGAUAUUAGGAGGAACACCAGAGGCGAAGGCGGCUUACUGGACAUAUACUGACGCUGAGGGACGAAAGUGUGGGGAGCGAACGGGAUUAGAAACCCUUGUAGUCC